CAGGCUUAACGCAUGCAAGUCGAGGGGCAUCAGGAAGAAAGCUUGCUUUCUUUGCUGGCGACCGGCGCACGGGUGAGUAACACGUAUCCAACCUGCCCUUUACUCGGGGAUAGCCUUUCGAAAGAAAGAUUAAUACCCGAUAGCAUAAUGAUUCCGCAUGGUUUCAUUAUUAAAGGAUUCCGGUAAAGGAUGGGGAUGCGUUCCAUUAGGUUGUUGGUGAGGUAACGGCCCACCAAGCCUUCGAUGGAUAGGGGUUCUGAGAGGAAGGUCCCCCACAUUGGAACUGAGACACGGUCCAAACUCCUACGGGAGGCAGCAGUGAGGAAUAUUGGUCAAUGGGCGCUAGCCUGAACCAGCCAAGUAGCGUGAAGGAUGAAGGCUCUAUGGGUCGUAAACUUCUUUUAUAUAAGAAUAAAGUGCAGUAUGUAUACUGUUUUGUAUGUAUUAUAUGAAUAAGGAUCGGCUAACUCCGUGCCAGCAGCCGCGGUAAUACGGAGGAUCCGAGCGUUAUCCGGAUUUAUUGGGUUUAAAGGGAGCGUAGGUGGACUGGUAAGUCAGUUGUGAAAGUUUGCGGCUCAACCGUAAAAUUGCAGUUGAUACUGUCAGUCUUGAGUACAGUAGAGGUGGGCGGAAUUCGUGGUGUAGCGGUGAAAUGCUUAGAUAUCACGAAGAACUCCGAUUGCGAAGGCAGCUCACUGGACUGCAACUGACACUGAUGCUCGAAAGUGUGGGUAUCAAACAGGAUUAGAUACCCUGGUAGUCCACACAGUAAACGAUGAAUACUCGCUGUUUGCGAUAUACAGUAAGCGGCCAAGCGAAAGCAUUAAGUAUUCCACCUGGGGAGUACGCCGGCAACGGUGAAACUCAAAGGAAUUGACGGGGGCCCGCACAAGCGGAGGAACAUGUGGUUUAAUUCGAUGAUACGCGAGGAACCUUACCCGGGCUUAAAUUGCAGUGGAAUGAUGUGGAAACAUGUCAGUGAGCAAUCACCGCUGUGAAGGUGCUGCAUGGUUGUCGUCAGCUCGUGCCGUGAGGUGUCGGCUUAAGUGCCAUAACGAGCGCAACCCUUAUCUUUAGUUACUAACAGGUUAUGCUGAGGACUCUAGAGAGACUGCCGUCGUAAGAUGUGAGGAAGGUGGGGAUGACGUCAAAUCAGCACGGCCCUUACGUCCGGGGCUACACACGUGUUACAAUGGGGGGUACAGAAGGCAGCUAGCGGGUGACCGUAUGCUAAUCCCAAAAUCCUCUCUCAGUUCGGAUCGAAGUCUGCAACCCGACUUCGUGAAGCUGGAUUCGCUAGUAAUCGCGCAUCAGCCACGGCGCGGUGAAUACGUUCCCGGGCCUUGUACACACCGCCCGUCAAGCCAUGGGAGCCGGGGGUACCUGAAGUACGUAACCGCAAGGAUCGUCCUAGGGUAAAACUGGUGACUGGGGCUAAGUC
This 1441-nucleotide ribosomal RNA is filed under the name uncultured organism. RNAcentral describes it as "SSU rRNA". It matches the Rfam family "Bacterial small subunit ribosomal RNA". The record is from RNAcentral.